GAUGAACGCUGGCGGCGUGCUUAACACAUGCAAGUCGAACGGAAAGGCUCCUGCUUGCCGGGGUACUCGAGUGGCGAACGGGUGAGUAGCACGUGGGUGAUCUGCCCUGCACUUCGGGAUAAGCCUGGGAAACUGGGUCUAAUACCGGAUAGGACGAUGGUUUGGAUGCCAUUGUGGAAAGUUUUUCGGUGUGGGAUGAGCUCGCGGCCUAUCAGCUUGUUGGUGGGGUAAUGGCCUACCAAGGCGUCGACGGGUAGCCGGCCUGAGAGGGUGUACGGCCACAUUGGGACUGAGGUACGGACCAGACUCCUACGGGAGGCAACAGGGGGGAAUAUUGCACAAUGGGCGCAAGCCUGAUGCAGCGACGCCGCGUGGGGGAUGACGGCCUUCGGGUUGUGAACUCCUUUCGCUAGGGACGAAGCGCAAGUGACGGUACCUGGAGAAGAAGCACCGGCUAACUACGUG
Molecule: ribosomal RNA, 465 nt
Filed under: uncultured bacterium
Lineage: Bacteria
Description: partial 16S ribosomal RNA
Rfam family: Bacterial small subunit ribosomal RNA
Source: RNAcentral